RNAcentral lists this long non-coding RNA (333 nucleotides) under Parus major (Great Tit). Its description in RNAcentral is "lncRNA (ENSPMJG00000014020.1)". Lineage: Eukaryota; Metazoa; Chordata; Aves; Passeriformes; Paridae. The record is from RNAcentral.
UCUGUUUCAGGGGAGCCCCCUCUGAGGUCUUUGAGAUUCCAGCCAGCAUUGGAAGUGACAGCCCAGAUAAGGCAGGAGAAUGUUUUACACUGGCUGCCUGUGCUGAUUGCUGCUGCUGCUCUCUUUUGCCACAAGCGAGGGCCAAAAACAUCUUUUUGUGUGGUAGAGCCAGGAGCAACCUUCAAUGUCUCUCUUGGACAAGUGCUUUCACCACUUCAUGCUUCAAUCCCAGAGUCAAGUGAGUGCAUGGAAUUGUGUCUCCACAAUACCCCAAAAAAGUCUUUUCCUCCUUCUCCAGCAUCUGUAGAUACAGUUGAGAUAGUGUUCCCUUGC